RNAcentral lists this long non-coding RNA (211 nucleotides) under Capsella rubella. Its description in RNAcentral is "long non-coding RNA (CRUB_LNC003844)". Lineage: Eukaryota; Viridiplantae; Streptophyta; Magnoliopsida; Brassicales; Brassicaceae. The record is from RNAcentral.
UUUUUGUUUUGUUUUUUUUUUAAUUAAACUGAAUAAAAGAAAAAGAAAAUAAGGAAGGGUAAAAAUGGAAUAACGAAUUCUCAUUAAUGAAGGAGGGGUAGAGAGAUUAAAAAGGGAGAUAGUGGAAUAAAAUUGUGAAAAAGGACAUGAGAGAUGUUACUAUCAUUUCCCUUUAUUUUCUAAAAAGAAGGAACAGUAACAUAAAAUUUAG